RNAcentral lists this unclassified non-coding RNA (324 nucleotides) under Aliiruegeria lutimaris. RNAcentral describes it as "Pseudoruegeria lutimaris Long range pseudoknot". The record is from RNAcentral. Lineage: Bacteria; Pseudomonadati; Pseudomonadota; Alphaproteobacteria; Rhodobacterales; Roseobacteraceae.
ACCGACACGCACGACUAUGACGUCAAGAUGCGCAACGUCAUCCGCUUCCUGGAGAACGGCGACAAGGUGAAGGUCACCCUGCGUUUCCGUGGCCGCGAGAUGGCGCACCAGAACCUCGGCCGCGAGCUGCUGGAACGGGUUGCCGAGGAUAUAAAGGAACUGGGCAAGGUCGAGAACAUGCCCAAGAUGGAAGGCCGGCAGAUGGUCAUGAUGAUCGGACCGAUUGCCAAGUAGCGCCUUCCAGGCGAACCGGCGGGUCAACCGCUUGCGCCAGAAGAUUUCCCGCCGGGUGCCAAGACAUUCGGCGGAACGGCAGGACCCCGG